Long non-coding RNA from Symsagittifera roscoffensis, 722 nucleotides. RefSeq lists it as uncharacterized. The record is from RefSeq and is a predicted model, not a curated record. The transcript is spliced from 3 exons. Lineage: Eukaryota; Metazoa; Xenacoelomorpha; Acoela; Convolutidae.
UAUGGCUGAAUGCCUUCAAAAAUUGGGACGACUUUGUUUCCCUGGAAAGUUUUCUUCUUUCCAUCUGAGAUCUUUUAUGGCACUAGCUGGCCCAGAGACAUCACUCCUGUCUAAUGGCAGCUUUUCAAUUAGUUCAGUGCGCGGCAAACGAAAGAAAAAGAAGGGACCGUCUGAGGCGGAUUCGAGAUACGAUAGUUCUAUUCAGAAAGCUGCUCUUCAAUAUCUCUACGAACAAAAUAUUAUGGACAGGUCACAUUUACAGAAUAUGUCAUUUGAUGAAUUUUAUGAUGAUUCUCUGCCUGUGUAUCGAUCUGUUGUUGUACGCUUAAUGUCCCAUGAUCUUCAAAGAGUGGAAGCGUUUGAGACCUACUUGGUAAAACGACUGCGAUUUUUGAGACUUCCGGUGUCGGAGUCAUAUCCUCUUCCACACAAAGUCUUCAGACUGGACAAUAUAAACAACUUAAACGAAAAAGUGACGGAAAGUAUGGAGAUACCCGAGUAUUCUCGUGUGAUUUCAUUCAACUCCAUACCUGCAGUGAUGUUUCCUAUUCUUAUGAUGCAACUCAAGACAACACUUCCCGAGGGAGUCAAGUUUUCAGCCGAUUAUUUCAACGAAUCUGUGAAGUGGGAGCGCUUCAUCGAUCCACUAGAACUACCCGAAAAUAAAAUACAAUUUAGUGAAUUGAUUUCUAAAAAACAAAAGUAACACGAUAUUCUUUUUA